This 253-nucleotide ribosomal RNA is filed under the name uncultured bacterium. Its description in RNAcentral is "partial 16S ribosomal RNA". It matches the Rfam family "Bacterial small subunit ribosomal RNA", at positions 524 to 776 of the family's 1533-position model. The record is from RNAcentral.
UACGUAGGGGGCUAGCGUUGUCCGGAAUCAUUGGGCGUAAAGCGCGUGUAGGCGGUCCGGUAAGUCCGCUGUGAAAGUCGGGGGCUCAACCCUCGAAUGCCGGUGGAUACUGUCGGGCUAGAGUGCGGAAGAGGCGAGUGGAAUUCCUGGUGUAGCGGUGAAAUGCGCAGAUAUCAGGAGGAACACCAAUGGCGAAGGCAGCUCGCUGGGACGGUACUGACGCUGAGACGCGAAAGCGUGGGGGGCAAACAGG